Harpia harpyja (harpy eagle) is the source of this 1324-nucleotide long non-coding RNA. RefSeq lists it as uncharacterized. The transcript is spliced from 4 exons. The record is from RefSeq and is a predicted model, not a curated record. Lineage: Eukaryota; Metazoa; Chordata; Aves; Accipitriformes; Accipitridae.
AUGACAUCUGACAAAAUCCAGGCAGAGUGGUCCAGAGCACUGGGAAUGGGAAUAAUACAAAAACAUGAAUGCUGCCAUGACUGCGAUUGACCUCAAAGAGGAAGGACAAAGCCAAAGGGAAAACUUGUGAUAUUACUGAAUUUAUUGAUGAAGUUCUGCACCAAAAUUUAAAAAGAAAAUAACAUAGAGGGGAAAAAAUGGAAGCAAAAGCUCUGUGCAUAAUUGUUUUCAUGUGUCCAAAGAUUUUGGUCCUGAUGAAGACAGGAGAAAUAAUAGACUCAUCAUGACUGUUCGAACAAAAUCUGUCCAUAAGCAGGACUGUUUGAAUGUGGCCAAAAGGAGCAGCACAUCCCAGCCAGAUGCCAUGACUGGUUGCAAACCUCCCUUAGCCUCGAAAGAGGUCCUGGCAUCUGACAGGGCUGAGGACUAGCUCAACCUUGGUAGAAAAGGCUACAGAUAAAGGAGAUGAAUCCCACCCCAAAAGGUGGGAACAGCAGAGUGAAGGUGACACAGAGGGUCACUGGAAAGACCCCUCAGUCUCCAGCUCUGGAGGAUGACUGAGCUGAAAUAACUGUUCCACCAGUGAGAUGAAGAUGUUGGGCCUGUGAACAUGAGGCUCCAUGAGCCUUAGCAUGGGCAGACCUGACCGUCUAUCAGACAAACUUUGAUUUCUUGCAGAAAUGAGUAUGGAAACACACAGACAUAUGGACACUGUGCCCAGGCUGAAAAAGUUGAUCCAGAAUAACACUAAAAGAAUAUCUCUGGGCAGGGAACGCGAUGUUGUCCAGCUGAAUUGUUUCCCAGGGCACAGGCAGUACGGGCAGAGGUCCUCUGUAGAGGCUGAUGACCACAAAGCUGGUUAGCUGAAUCACUGCCCACCUCCUUGUGUGAUGCCCUGCCAGCUUUGAUCUCCAGAGCCGAUAGCCCCCCUGGCUGAGCAGCUGCUCACAGGGAAUUUUCCAAGAGGGCUCUUGUCUCCGUGCUCGUUAGCCCUUCUGAGCUCAUUAGCCCCUCUUGGCCCAAAGCAGCCAAGCCCCAGUGACAUUUACUGCUAGACGGAAGACCCACCCAUUACGUGGCCCGCCUAGUGAAGGAUGAGUUUAAGGAACUCAUGGCAUAAUAUAGCUGUGUGUUGACUUCGGGUAGCCAGCUGGAGUCGUUUGCGGAAUAAUGCUGUGUGUAUUAAUGAUGACUUUGUACUUUGCACAAGAAGCGAGCUAGAGGCAGAUAAAUGGGGGAGUCAGCUAUGACGCCAAAAGAAAAACUCAGGUCCCAACAUCAUUUUUUUCCACAUGAAUAACACCAGAGCAUGUGUUCAGGCAGG